Long non-coding RNA from Gallus gallus (chicken), 6773 nucleotides. RefSeq lists it as uncharacterized. The transcript is spliced from 4 exons. The record is from RefSeq and is a predicted model, not a curated record. NCBI's taxonomy places the organism in Eukaryota, Metazoa, Chordata, Aves, Galliformes, Phasianidae.
AAUCGCCCAGCUGUCCCCUCAGACGGCAGCCCGUGGCCGUCCCCUUCGCUGUGGGAUGCGGGGAUUUGGGGCAGCUGAAGGAGUCGGGGCCCCCACCACCACAGCGCUGCUGCCCUCACAGGGGCCGGGCCUCCCCGAGCCUCCAGUGCUUGUUGAGGUUUCAGUCUGCAGUCUGCUGAUCCGAAAGAAAGAAGGCGGCUUUUGGAGGACAUAAUCAUUGCAAGUCGAGCUGCUGCUGAACCUCCCCUUCCAACAUCCAGCAGGUUUGUUCUGCAGGCCCCGAUGAUGGCACAGGCAUGAAAGAGCCCAGAGCUCGUCGCUGGGGAGAGGCUGCGUAUGGCGUUGUGAAGGGAGAGAUGGAGGAGGGGUUUGAGCAGCGCUGUGCAAGAAUGAACGGCUGGCAGGAGUCGGGCAGCGGUACUGCAGCUCCUCUGGCAGCUUUGCAGCUCAGUAGGGAAGCAGAAGAUGUGGAUGUGAAAGAAGAAGUCCGUUGCUGGGACGUUCCCCUGUUCUUCCCCCAGCUGUCCCCUUGCCUCAGCCUGGAUUCCCCUUGUGUUCCUGUAGGAUUCCCUUCCAUCCCCCUGGCUGCCCCUUGCUUUCCCCAAGGCUGCCCUUUCCUUUCUCAUGACAGCCCACCCAUCAUUCCCUCAGAGCCCCAAUGUCCCCCCCAGUGUUUCCCAGCAAGACCCCUUGAGACACCCUAUAGCCCCCCACAGAGCCCUGGAGCCCCUCGAGGACCCCCUCAGACCCAGUACACCUCCCCCGUAGCUGGCCCAUACCCACAUGGAGCCCCACAGUCCCCAGCAGCACCCCAUGUGCCCCACUGGGCUUCCCCGGAAUCCUCCUAUUUCCUCCCUCAGACCUCCUUUACACCUCCAAGAUCCCCCCUGGGAACUCGCUGACCCCCAUGUUCUUUGACAGUACCUCCAUCACCAUCCAGUGAACCCCAUAGCCCACCUUUGGCCUCUCCUCCCCCUGACCUGCCUCCAGAUCUUGUACAACCUCACAGUGCUGUGGCAUGGAUGGCUUCUGCAGGUGAGGAAUGGGGAGCUGGAGAAGGUGUAAGGCACAGAUGUGGGUGAAAGUGAAGUGGUUGGCCCUGGGGAUACUGGGGAACACAGAUCAGAACAUGGGAGGAUUUGGGGAGGAUAAGGGGAUGUGGACCACAGCCUACAGGAGCAGAGUGCUUCUCAGGAGGAGGCAAGGUGUGAGUUACAGGUGGGACUUGUGUGUGCGGGGACGUGGGGUGGCAUGGGUACGUGGGGAGUCUGGGGGCUCGUGGGGAGCGGUUUGGGGUCAGAAUGGAGGAUGUGGGGUGGUGUUGGCGUGCAUUCAUUGAUUUCUUCCUGAGAGGGGAUUGGGGUUCCCUGUGGCCCAAAGGUGGAGCCCUCAUCGGUAACCGCACAUGAGCCCAGAACCCCAUAUAACUCCACGUGACCCAAGGCUCCACAUAUCCCAUAACCUUGUGAGCACAGUAAGCCCAUAUGAGGCUGUGGGCAGGGAUGGGUCUGUUCCUGGCUUGUUCAGGGGGUACUAUAAGGUGGCUCUGGGGCCGCUGUAGGUCAGCAGCCUGUAUAUUCCCCUGAUGCUCAUCUUGCCCUCAUCUUGGGGGGCAAAAUGGAGGUCAAGGGGUUUGUUGGGGGCUAAGGAAGAGGUUCCAUGAGUGUAUCCCAUAGCUGCCCAGAGCAUCCCCAGAGCCAUCCUAGAGGAGCAGUUCCAGAGCAGCCCCAUCAUUGCCCAUAGCUCGUAGCCAGCAGCAGUUCCACCAGCAGCAGUGUGUUGGGUAAAGACAGCUCCUAAGUGUGGCUCUGCUGCAAGGCUGCCCCAAAGUGCUCCUGAAGCCCUCCCAUAGGCGUCUUUUAACUGUCCCACAACCCUGUGAGGCUUCCCCACAUCCCAGCACAUCCACGAACGUGCCUGUGGGGUGUGCGAGAAACGCUCACAUCCCUGAUGUUCCACCAGGCACAGCUCUCAGUGCAGCAGCAAAGCUCAUUCCUGAUUGCUGUGGCAUUACUGCACUCUCUUCUGUGAGCUCCUUCUGCUCCUGUAGCUCUCCUCCCAUGGCACCCACUGCUCUCCCCCUUGGCUGGGCACUGCAGGCUCACAGUCUCCACCACGCAUCCGCUGUGCCGUUUUUCCAGAGGAGGUCUAUGGCCAACGUGUUCCUUUCGGGCUGAUUUUGUGCUUUUCUAUGCAGACAGGCAGGCAGGAUUUCUUGCAGCUGUUGCACGUGCUGGGUCUCAUGCUCCGUCCUGCGGCUGUGCCUUAUCUCGUGUGCACUCUCCACCUCCCCCUGGUCAGAACGUCCUGGCCCUGCUGUGCUCUGCUCAGCAUCUGUCUGCUGAACGACGACACAGCUGUCACACUGAGCCUGCCUUGUGCUAUCCCUGCAGAUGUUCGGUGAUUUCCUCUGCCACUCUCCCACCCGUAAGCGCCCGGGUGAUUCCCAGCAGCACACAGCUGGCACACAGAGCCAUGCUGACCACGGCAGGGUGCAGCUUCUUGUUGCAGUCCCGUAGCGGUGGGUGGCCGUGCCAAAGGGGGAUCCCACCGCUGCUGCUCUCCAUCCUUCUGUGCUCGUUCUGCACCACCGUGCAUUCCAUCCUUCCUCCUCGUGCUGCGCUGCCCAUUUCUCGGGGUCGUUGCAGCAGCUGCUGCAAGUGCUGAUGUUGGAGCAGUUUCUUCCCCACCGCGAGAUCCCUUCCAAGAAGCACUGCCCCUACUGCUGCAACGGCCCCAGUCUGGGACGCCCUUUUGUAAGGGGUUGCGUUGUUUGUUCUGCAGCUGACUUGGAUUUCUUCUCCCACUGUCCCGUGAAGGAGUUGAUUUGCUUCAGUCCAUCCCUGUUCCAUUCCUGGCUCGGGUAUCCCUCGUGGCCAUGCAGCACCGCAGCAGCAAAGCUCCAAUCCCUUCCCCGGUCUCAGUGGGUUCAGUUUGUUCUGUUCUCAUCCACUUACAGAAACAGAAGCUACCAAGCCACCAAACCCUGGGACAGGUAUUUCCCUACAGAAGCAUUCAUGUCCUUCUCCUGGCCCCUUUGGCCAGCUCCCAGCUCUCCAAACUGAGGCGUACGGCUGCAGCCCACCCCAUGGCUUCUCUGGGGCAGCUGUGGGGCAGCCCCACCUGGAGGAGGAGAUGCCUUUUCCUAGCAUGCAGCUGGUUCUAUGCCCACAUGGGGUGAGGACGUGGGGUCGUGGGUCACAUAGGAGUCCUGCAGGGUCACAGAGUUACGGGGUGAUGUGGGGCUAUGGGGUCAGAUGGGGUUCUGAAUCACAGUGAUAGGGUCAGAUUGGAUGGUAGGGACAGAUGGGGUGACAUGGAGUUAUGGAUCACAUGGGUUGUAUGGUCGGGGUGAGGUGGGGGCAAGGAUCCCAGAUUUAUGGGCCACAUGGCGUCAGUUCGCAGCAUGAUGGGGGCAGGAAGAGUCAGGGAGUCACAGGGUCAUGUGGGGGUAUGGUUCCCAUCAGGGCUGUGGGUCACGUGCAGCCAUGGGGUCACGCACAUACAGGGCGAUGAGGUCAUCUUGGGUUAUGGCUCAUGUGGGGUAACGGCUCAGGGCCCCACUUUUGGGCCACAGGGACGCCCAGUCCCCUCUCAGGAUGAAAUGAAACCACUGCAAACUCUGCCCACCCCACCCCCCUUUUUACCUCAAACCGCUCCCCACAUCCUCCCAUACUCUCUACGUCCCCAUACUAGCCCAUGCCCCUGUGUCCCACCUGCAGCCCACGUCUUGUUUUCUCCUGAACAGCAUUCUGCUCCUGCAGCCUGUGUUCCCACAUCCCUUAAUGUCCCUAUAUCCUCCAAACACACCCCCAGAGAGCCCUAUAGCUCCUCAAGGACCUUCUCAGACUCAGCACAUUUCCCCCACAGAGAAGCUGGGCCAUCACAGACUUCUGCAGUCCCCAGCAGCAGCACACAUCCCCCUCUGAGCUCACACUGAACCCCCUUGUUUUCUUCCUCACACCUCCCUUACGCCCUCAGUCCUCUCCUGGGUCCUCAGAGUUCCACAGUCCGUGACAGGACCCCCAUUACCAUCCCAGGAUCCCCAUAUCCCACCGACGAGGAACCCCACAGCAAAACACAUCUCAGGAUGGGGCUCCAGUGGUGCACCAAUACAUUCAUUAAAGAGAGGAGAAUGAAUGAGCGUAAAGGGGGGCCUUUCCUCCUGAUGUUGCCCACCGCCUGUGUGUUGGCUGUGCCAUGCCAGCAGCAUUUUGUCCUCGAGCUGUGAGUGCAGGUAUGCGUGCAUACGGGGGUGUGCAGAGUUGGUGCUGAACAUCAGAGCGUGCAUUGCGCUUGGCUGUGUGCACGGUGCUUGCAGGUGAAAGUUUUGCAUCUGUGUGCAUGCACAUGGCAGUGUGCAAGGCUGGAGCAGUGGUCGAGUCUUCGUGCUCGUGGGUGUGCAGAGGGAUGGGGUGCACGCAUGUGAAGACAGCGCCAUGGGAGGCACUGCAAAGGAAACAGCUCCAUCCCAGCCACAACAGUGAUAGGCAGGCAGGCACUGGGGAGGGCUGCACGGCAGAGGGACGCCCUCUGAGUGCCACAACAUGGAGCGCUGUCUGCAAGCAGAACAGUGCCGGGAUGGCAGCCUGGUGGUCCUAAGCUGCAGAGAUGCUGCUCUGGACCAACAGCCUGUCAUUUUUUCAGAAAACGCCGUCCUUUUGCUGAACUUUGCUCAUUACAUACUUGUCAUUAAUGAAAAAAUGCUUGGUGCUGCCCUGGGAAACUCGGCAAUCUCCACAGCAUUGCUCUCCAAGUUAGCACGCUCAUGGCCAGGCUGUGUUCCCUGCAGCUCUUUGCACAUGCUUUGCAGACAGUCUGUCUGUGGGCAGUGCAAAGGACUGCUGCCUCCGUUGCAUCACUGGACGGCAGCAUUCGCUGACGGAGCUGUGGCAGUUCUGAGCGAGCGCCGCGAGACCAAUAACGAGGAGGUGGUGCAGCAGCUCUCCGAGUGCCACUGGACAAAUCAGGCCGUGCGCUCUCUGUAAAUCUAUAAAUUUGACUGGUGUUUAUUGACUACGUUUGAAGGUGGAGUGCUGAGAUGGGCGGCACUCAGCGCUGCCCUGUAACGCCGCACACUGCAGAAGCUGCUGCCUGCUGACGCUCCUCCUCUCAGUCCUUCAGCUGCAGCUUCUGCAUCAUCUCCACAAGGCUGUCCACUGCGGAGGCCUGGGAAGAAACGGAGCGAGGGUAGAAACAGGACACCACUUCCCUCGGGAUUUUACAGUCUCUUCCUUUCAUGUGUGACAGAUGGAGGCCCUGAGAACAACAAGAGCCGUGUCUGUGUUCACCAAGGACUCACCUCUGCACGUGCAGCGGCAGCUCUGAGGGCAGCCUUCUUCAGCUCCACUCUCCUCUCUUUCUGUCGCUGUCUUCUUGCUAUAAGGCAAAAAAAAGAGAUGAAUGCAUUUUGUCUACAGUGAAAUGGCAGAAACAUACAUGCCGUACAAGCAUAAGGCAGCAAAAAGACGGAGGAAAUGGGACUAGGAAGCCUCCCAGUGAAUGACAUUUCCAGGAGGCGUGCAGAAGACUGCCAUAGAGUUAACGGGAAGAGACAGGGUUACACGUUCUGGCACCUCACUGCCUUUGGACUUUGUAGCCUUCCACUCUUUUCCCCUCCAAGGAGAAGGAAAAAGCAAAGCCAACCCUAAGCAAACUCAGUGUGCUCGCACAGGGAAGCGCCUCAGCACGGCGGGUACCACAGCACCUUCUCACCUCUUUGCUUGGAGCUCCGCGCUGCAGCAGGCCCAGGGUGUGCUGCUGGAGCCGGCACGCCGUCUCCACUCGGCCCCCUCACUCUCUUAUUGGAAGGCUGCUGAGCUGCUGUUGGUUUCCCUUCCUCCAAGGCCUUGCGUUUACAUCCAGCCAGGGUGUUGGAGAUAGAGCGGGGGCACACGGCUGGGGAAGGUCUUCCCCCUGUGCUGGGACCUGCUCUUCUAGGAAGACCUGCAGCCUGCAGAGGAGCUUGAGCUGCUGCUGGUUGAGAAGCUCUCUCAGUAUGGAUCUGCUGCCCCACUUUCACAUAGAUUUUGCCAUUUGGCUCAGCACCAAUCUCUGUUAAGAAAGGAAAAAUAAGGAGAUUUAAUGAGAGCCCAACACUACUUUCAGUCUGGAAAACGGGUCACAAUCCUGGGACAUCUCAUCUCGAGUGCUCACGGUCAUGGAUCUUAGGAUCUAAGCUGAACUGUGGGUUCACAUUUCUAAUCAGCACAAGAAUGCUAACUGUACAUGCCAGGGAUUAAGACCACGACCAACACACAACGGCCACAGUCCCAGGAAAGGACGGUCAGAAAGCCUCACUAGAGAGACAGUGCACCAAACCCAGGUGCCUGCUGUGUGUCUGUACCUCUCUUGGGUGCUGUGCCACACUGGGCGCUUCUGCCUUGCCUUUCUGCAAGGCUGCGCUUUGAUGGAAGGCCGCUCGCAUCAGCUUCUGGCAGAAAGGAGACAAGACAGACAUGAAGAGCAUCUCUGUGGCGGAAGAUUUGAGCACAGCCAACCACAGUCUUCUAAUCCUCAAGAGCAGUUUCUUCAGCUUGCCUUUCUGCUGCUACAACAUUAUGCCGCUUCUGCAGUCAGCACAGCUUGCAAGAGCUUCUUACCUGCGGAGGCUUUGCGUUUCCAGCCUUGCCCAGCACCAUUCCAUGGACGCGCAGGCUCCGUCCCUACAACAACAGAUGGUGUGUUGAUUUCACAGACACCAGCAGGCAGCAGAAGUACUGCCCAGUAUGCCCACGUCCCCCCAGAAAACAGAAAGAGGCUACUUGGACAGC